Piliocolobus tephrosceles (Ugandan red Colobus) is the source of this 1195-nucleotide long non-coding RNA. RefSeq lists it as uncharacterized. Lineage: Eukaryota; Metazoa; Chordata; Mammalia; Primates; Cercopithecidae. The record is from RefSeq and is a predicted model, not a curated record. The transcript has 2 exons.
AAAUGUGGGCAUAAUUAGGUGUAUUGACAUGCCUUUGAUACAUCAAAUUAAGGAGGAAACCCCACUAAAUCCAGUCAAGCAGUUUCGUAAGAUCUUCACAAAAUGUCUCUACUUAUGGAAUCGUGGAGUUUAGUUCUGCUGAAGUGUAUACCGUUAGCACUUUGGUUUAUCAAUAUUUGAUUAGCUGAAAUGAUGGAUAGAAGGAUAGCCUGGUUAUAGACAGUAGGCAGAAGGAGGUGGAGGGGUUAUAGUAAUAUAAGAUCAAGAAUUACAAGCCCGGUACCACCAGGUACUACAUUAUAUAAGGAACAAGGUUCUAAUGUUUCCUUAACAGCAAACCAGUCCAGUUACGGUGGCCCAGCCAGCCAGCAGCUGAGUGGUGAUUAUGGAGGCGGAUGUGGUGGCCAGAGCAGCAUGAGUGGAUACGGUAACCAAGGAGCAAUGAACAGCAGCUACUACAGUAGUGGAAGCCGUGCAUCUAUGGACGUGAAUGGAAUGGGAGGGAUGUCUAGUAUGUCCAGUAUGAGUGGUGGAUGGGGAAUGUAAUUGCUCGAUCCUGAUCACUGACUCUUGGUCAACUUUUUUUUUAAAAGAAAAAAAAACUUCAGUUUAACAGUUUCUGCAAUACAAGCUUGUGAUUUAUGCUUACUCUCUAAGUGGAAAUCAGGAUUGUUAUGAGGACUUAAGGCCCAGUAGUUUUGAAUUUUUGAUCCUACUAUCUAGGAUGUAACAGUAAAGCUGAGUAAACUAUAACUGUUAAACUUAAGUUCCAGCUUUUCUCAAGUUAGUUAUAGGAUAUACUUAAGCAGUAAGCAUAUUUAGGUAAAAUCAGUUGAAUUAUGUUAAAUGUUGCCCUUUGUCACGUUACAUUGAACACUGGAUGCAUGUUGAAAGACAUGCGUUUAUUUUUUUGUAAAACUCAAUAUAGGAGCUGUGCCUACAAUUAAAAGUGAAACAUUUUGGCAUGUUUGUUCUAGUUUCAUUUAGUAACCUGUGAGGCACAUAAGUUUAAGCUUUUUUUUUUUUUUUAAGUUAAUGGGAAAAAGUUGAGAUGCAAUACCAAUACUUUAGGAUUUUGGUCUUGGUGUUUGUAUGAAAUUCUAAGGCCUCGAUGUAAAUCUUCCAUUACAGUGUGAUUUCCUUUUAGGUAUAUUGCGCUAAGUGAAACUUGUCAAAUAAAUCCUUUUAAAAACUG